Molecule: ribosomal RNA, 295 nt
Filed under: uncultured bacterium
Lineage: Bacteria
Description: partial 16S ribosomal RNA
Rfam family: Bacterial small subunit ribosomal RNA
Source: RNAcentral
CCUGAACGCUGGCGGCGUGGCUAAGACAUGCAAGUCGAACGGGUGUAGCAAUACACCAGUGGCGGACGGGUGAGUAAUGUAUCGCUAACGUGCCCUGGAAUCUGAGAUAGCCAAUCGAAAGGUUGGGUAAUACCAGAUGAAAUAUCCUUAUCGCAUGAUGAGGAUCUCAAAGGAGCAAUCCGGUCUGGGAGCGGGCGAUAUCGUAUCAGCUAGUUGGUGAGGUAACGGCUCACCAAGGCGACGACGCGUAGCCGGGCGUNAGAGGUCGGCCGGCCACAUUGGGACUGAGACACUG